CUGACCCAGCCUCACCAGGCCGGGCCCCUCUGCUCAGGACCAGGCCCCACCCCAGUGUCGCCCUGAGGCCUGGCAGGGGCCUCUGGAGCCCGCACACCCCUCUCCUUGGCAGCCCCCUCCAUCCUGGGCCCUCCGUCUUUCCCACAGGUGUGUCCCUCAGGGCUUUGCAGCCAGGGUGUGGCCAGCCGCAGGUUUCGGAUGCAGGAGGCCGGAUCGUGGGGGGUCACGCUGCCCCGGCCGGCGCAUGGCCAUGGCAGGCCAGCCUCCGCCUGCGGAGAGUGCACGUGUGCGGCGGGUCCCUGCUCAGCCCCCAGUGGGUGCUCACAGCUGCCCACUGCUUCUCCGGGUCCCUGAACUCAUCCGACUACCAGGUGCACCUGGGGGAACUGGAGAUCACUCUGUCUCCCCACUUCUCCACCGUGAGGCAGAUCAUCCUGCACUCCAGGCCCUCAGGACCGCCGGGGACCAGCGGGGACAUCGCCCUGGUGGAGCUCAGUGUCCCCGUGACCCUCUCCAGCCGGAUCCUGCCCGUCUGCCUCCCGGAGGCCUCGGAUGACUUCUGCCCUGGGAUCCGGUGCUGGGUGACCGGCUGGGGCUAUACGCGG
RNAcentral lists this small RNA (605 nucleotides) under Pan troglodytes (chimpanzee). Its description in RNAcentral is "retained intron". The record is from RNAcentral. Lineage: Eukaryota; Metazoa; Chordata; Mammalia; Primates; Hominidae.